This is a long non-coding RNA of Portunus trituberculatus (swimming crab), 2702 nucleotides long. RefSeq lists it as uncharacterized. The record is from RefSeq and is a predicted model, not a curated record. Lineage: Eukaryota; Metazoa; Arthropoda; Malacostraca; Decapoda; Portunidae. The transcript has 3 exons.
AACCACUUAGAACUUGGAUAUCAUGGUGACAUGUAGGUAACUUUAAACCACUCGACAAAUGGCAAAGUUUCAAGAUUGUACAUGGUGGGGAUUUGAAACUACCUAUUCAUACCAAUAUAUAUGUGCAGUAUAUGCAAUCCUAUUAUCCUAUUUGCCUUGGUGCUCAGGAAGGCCAUUCUCUCACUUCUGCUAGGAUUUCAUGUGGAUUAACCUCUUCUACAUGUUUUCAAAUUUAUUCUACUUACUACAGCUUCAGAAACUUGUGUAGGGAUUGAAUAGUGAAGACUGGCCAUUAAUCUUCUACCCUCCAUAGACCCUUCCUAAUGUCAAUAAAAUGGUCUAAUCACACCAAAAAACUUGCAUAUCUAUAUUCAUUCAGGCUAUUAUUUGGUGACUUUACAUAGCUUCAGAAACUUAUCUAGGUAUUAAAAUAGUAAUGAUUGUGGCCAUUAAUCUUCAGACGUCCUUCCUUAUGUCAGUAAAAUGGUCUAAUCACACCCAAAAAAUUCAAGGUAAAAAUGUGUCCCAGUGUCCUAAUGUGUAAGGACUAGCUGUCUUUCUUCAAUAAAAAUCUAAAGGAAAUAUAGAAGCAAGCAGGGAGUUCAAGAGUGUACCAGAGAAAGCCAGUACUAUUAAUGCAGCCCGUCACUCCAUAACACCCAACGCACUCUUUGCCACCACCCAUCCAUGCCAGUUUGCUAGUAUUUGCAUGUCUGUGAAGAUAGAGAGAUAAGCGAGGAAUUUGAUAUGCUGAUAGAUAGGUAAAAAGACAGAUCGAGGUAAACAGAUAGAUGGGUAGAUGAAUAAAUUCGUAGAUAGAUAAUAAGAUAGAUAUGCAUGACAAGAUGUAUAUAUUCCUUUACUUAUUCUUAAUUCUUAGAAGUAGUCUAGAUUCUUGUAAAAGUGAUAGAAAUACAAAACGAAAGAAAUACCAUAGUCUGCCUUUCAAGUACCUCGGUUUUUUUUCUUUUCUUUUCCCGCGUGAUAUGAAAACACUCCCUGUAAAACGAGAAGUUGCUAAAUAUUUACUUCUUUGACAAAUAAUCAUAGAUGGACUGAUAACGAAGAGAAAGAUGUCACAAUGACCAAAAAAUCGGUAUAUGGAACUUGUAUAAGUGUAGUAUCUCAUUAAUAAUAGAUAUUUUAGUAAGUCAUCAUAGACAUUUAUACUAAGGACAGUCAUCACAAACACAGCUACGGCUACGACUCAACCGGGCGCGCCAGUUGUGUUGGUGUUGGUGGUAGUGGUGGUGGUGGUGGUGGUGGCGAUAGUGGUGGUGUUUCUCGUCUUGCACACACACACACACACACACACUUGUAUAUCAAUGGUGGUGUUUAGUGUUAGCCUGCAGUCGUCCCACACACACAGAUAAACAUGCCCCAAAACACACUCUUAUAUACCCGAAACACUCGUAAACACAAUAAAAACAAACAAACACACACACACACAAAGUGGAUAUUCCCUGCAAUAUUUACUGUUUAGCAACACCAAGCAGUGAAUGAACCAGCAGUGCAAGCAGUCAAUGCAUUACCACCACCAAUACAGCUCUCCACAGUGCCCUCCGUUCAUUUCUGUAAGGCUGAGACGUAUAGUUGGAAGCAGUAGAAGGAAGGCAAGAAAGAGGUAAAAGGAGGAGGAAGAAAGAAGAAAAGAAAAGGGAAGGGGAAGCGGCAGAGAAGCCAAGCCACAAUAUUUAGGGAACACUUCCUUAAAAGUGAAGCAAUGUUUAACUGGCGCUUUAAGAGGUGAGGAACAGAACAGUGUACCAGAAUGAGUGACUUUAGAGACGUUUAGUAAGUAAUCAUGAUAUCCCCCUCAGUUCUUCCUGUGCUAAUAUUCCUCUUCCUAAUCGCUUUAGUGUUUCUACUUAAAAGGGCGUCGAGAAGUGAAAAGAAAACCCGGUCAGCGAGGCGCCGCACGAGAAGUAGCACAGGGGCGCGUCAGUCCUUAUCGUCAAAACAGCAGCCCGCCACCAGAUACGGAGAAUGACUUACUGGGAAUGAAAAGUGUGGGAACAGUGGCUGAGGGGGAAACACGGCCUCCAGCCAAGCAGCACGAAGUUCAUGGGCGAGGCGAGGCUCAGAUGAUUAAAAAGCACAUUAGCUGAAGAAUCUUGCGUAUAGUCGGUUUAAUGAAGCAGUUUUCCUACCAAUAUUUUGUAACAAAAAUGAAAUCCUUCUUUCUAUGCUAGCUGUCAUUGGCUAGAACUGCUUCUAAGGUGUAUUACAGGCCUGCCUUCUUCCUCUCCCUCCACACUGAAUAAAAGACUAUUUCAAAACCUAGUCGAAACACGAUUAAAGCAAGCAACAAUCUUUGAGGGUUUUCAGGCAACCUCUUUUACUUUGACGUGAAUAAGAUCACAGGUCUUGAAUUCUUGAAGGCUUCAUUCCUUACAUCUCACCACGGUAGACUCUGGACCACGACAAAGAUUCGGGACGUCCUCACACUCGCGGCUCUCCCAUUGACGGUGUUAGCAUUCCCGCAACUCUGCAGUGACUGUGACGGUCAAAAGCGUAGAAAGAAGGGUAUACUAUUCCUCUUUCCUCGAUGCCGCGGCCUUCCUCUCACCUCUCCGUGAAAGUGAUAGAUCAUUUUUUUUUACUUAUUUUUUUCAGUUUACGUGUCACAAGCAAAUACAAAUGUCAGUAGAAGAGAAUAAUAAUGUAAAGUAACAAAGGAGGAAGGAGAGAGAGAGAGAGAG